RNAcentral lists this ribosomal RNA (497 nucleotides) under uncultured bacterium. RNAcentral describes it as "partial 16S ribosomal RNA". It matches the Rfam family "Bacterial small subunit ribosomal RNA", at positions 28 to 507 of the family's 1533-position model. The record is from RNAcentral.
GAUGAACGCUGGCGGCGUGCCUAAUACAUGCAAGUCGAGCGAACAGACGAGGAGCUUGCUCCUCUGACGUUAGCGGCGGACGGGUGAGUAACACGUGGAUAACCUACCUAUAAGACUGGGAUAACUUCGGGAAACCGGAGCUAAUACCGGAUAAUAUAUUGAACCGCAUGGUUCAAUAGUGAAAGACGGUUUUGCUGUCACUUAUAGAUGGAUCCGCGCCGCAUUAGCUAGUUGGUAAGGUAACGGCUUACCAAGGCAACGAUGCGUAGCCGACCUGAGAGGGUGAUCGGCCACACUGGAAGUGAGACACGGUCCAGACUCCUACGGGAGGCAGCAGUAGGGAAUCUUCCGCAAUGGGCGAGAGCCUGACAGAGCAACGCCGCGUGAGUGAUGAAGGUCUUCGGAUCGUAAAACUCUGUUAUUAGGGAAGAACAAAUGUGUAAGUAACUAUGCACGUCUUGACGGUACCUAAUCAGAAAGCCACGGCUAACUACGUG